GAGAGAGAGACAUGCGCGCAUAUCAAUAAGCGGAGGAAAAGAAACUAACAAGGAUUCCCCUAGUAACGGCGAGUGAAGCGGGAAGAGCUCAAAUUUGAAAUCUUAAAGGGUUUCCCUUUACGAAUUGUAGUUUAAAGAAGUGUUUUCUGUUGGAGUUUCGGUAAAAGUUCUUUGGAAUAGGACAUCAUAGAGGGUGAGAAUCCCGUAUUUGACCGUUACUUUCCAGCUGUGUGAUACACUUUCAAAGAGUCGGAUUGUUUGGGAAUGCAGUCCAAGAUGGGUGGUAAAUUUCAUCUAAAGCUAAAUACUGGCGAGAGACCGAUAGCGAACAAGUACCGUGAGGGAAAGAUGAGAAGAACUUUCGAAAAGAGAGUUAAACAGUACGUGAAAUUGUCAAAAGGGAAGCGUUUGACACCAGUGUUGUUUUCUCGAAAAUCAAUUACAAAUGGUUUGAUUUUGAGGAGUUAUGACUUCAUCGGCUUGCUCCUUUCUUUAUGAAACUUUCUUAAUGCACUUUUCGGUUAACAAGUCAACAUCAAUUUCUUUUGUUGUAAAAGGGUAUGAGGAAGGUGGCUUUCUUUUCGGAGAAAGUGUUUAUAGCCUUGUGCCUCUGCAAUCGGAGAGAUUGAGGUCUGCAGCGUAGAUCCUUCGGGGUUAGAUACAUUUGUGCUAAGUUAUAGCUUUUCAUAGACAACUUGUUGACUAUGUCUAGUCUUGUAGCUUACUCGCUUACUGCUAUUUUACCUACGCUUAGGAUGUUGAUAGUCACAGCGUGUAC
RNAcentral lists this ribosomal RNA (778 nucleotides) under uncultured Neocallimastigales. RNAcentral describes it as "partial large subunit ribosomal RNA". It matches the Rfam family "Eukaryotic large subunit ribosomal RNA", at positions 23 to 641 of the family's 3401-position model. Lineage: Eukaryota; Fungi; Neocallimastigomycota; Neocallimastigomycetes; Neocallimastigales. The record is from RNAcentral.